AUGUCAGGGUCUUCAUUUGGUCUGCCGCUUCUCCUCGAAUCUCCUCCACUGCUUCCUCCUGACCGAUUCCUACCUAUCCUUCUCGUCUUAGUCGGGAAACACAUCCUCUGGGAAGUCUUCCAUGACCGUUUAACACCUAGCAUCUGCCUCCGUGGCAUUCCUCUAGAUCAACUAGCAGUGAAAGCGAGUUGCAGUUCCUCCAUGUCCUCGCCAACACUUUCGGCAACUUUAAAAGAAUCCUUUCUUCGAAUAAAAGCUUAUGUGGAUUGGGAGGCCGAGACGGGCGGAUCACGAGGUCAGGAGAUCGAGACCAUCCUGGCUAACACGGUGAAACCCCGUCUCUAUUAAGAAAUACAAAAAACUAGCCGGGCGAGGUGGCGGGCGCCUGUAGUCCCAGCUACUCGGGAGGCUGAGGCCGGAGAAUGGCGUAAACCCGGGAGGCGGAGCUUGCAGUGAGCUGAGAUCCGGCCACUGCAGUCCAGCCUGGGUGACAGAGAGAAAAAAACUAUGAAAAAAAAAAAAAAAAAGCUUAUGUGGAAACGUAAUACCUGUAGUAGAUCAAUAUGGUUAAGUGGAAGCUGGAGGCCCUUGGACCUUGUCUUUUCUCUCCUUCUGCAUUUAUUUUUUUCAUCUCCUUACCCACCACCUCACACGCCCCUGCUCAAUCCCUUGUUAAAGGUCUUAUAGCAUAAAAAUCACUAGUGCUAGCCUAAGGUAGACGUUAUUCUGGGAAUUCACUACAAGGACAAGAUUUGUCUCACCUGACAAAUAGUUGUGUUCAUUUUGAUAUAACCCAGAUUUGUAAUACAAUGUAUUUCUCUUCUUGCCUUGGUUGAGAGGAAAUUCAGAUAAAUUAGGUGCUCAAAAUGCAGUAUUUCUUGACUAUUAUUUCCAAACAUAGCUAAAAAUGACUGUCUCUCACUUUUUUUUUUUUGCAACCAAAGAUAUAGAGGAUUGAAUUUAUUAUAUUUCCCAGUUUCAGGUACAUUACCAUUACUGGUUCAGACAAGGCCCCUCUGUUGUAAACAUAAAGGUUUGCAUGCAUAUGUUUAUUUGUUUAAUCCUCCUUUAUCCCUAAACUCUAUUUUUAUUCCUCACUAUUUCCCCUACCCUGUAGGCAGCCAUAUUGUAAUGGAUUUAAUAUAUGUUAACCUCUGUUCCUGAAACUGUGUUUUUUUUUUUUUAAUGGA
RNAcentral lists this long non-coding RNA (1190 nucleotides) under Papio anubis (olive baboon). Its description in RNAcentral is "lncRNA (ENSPANG00000038751.1)". Lineage: Eukaryota; Metazoa; Chordata; Mammalia; Primates; Cercopithecidae. The record is from RNAcentral.